UGGGUAAUAUUGCACAAUGGGCGCAAGCCUGAUGCAGCCAUGCCGCGUGUAUGAAGAAGGCCUUCGGGUUGUAAAGUACUUUCAGCGGGGAGGAAGGGAGUAAAGUUAAUACCUUUGCUCAUUGACGUUACCCGCAGAAGAAGCACCGGCUAACUCCGUGCCAGCAGCCGCGGUAAUACGGAGGGUGCAAGCGUUAAUCGGAAUUACUGGGCGUAAAGCGCACGCAGGCGGUUUGUUAAGUCAGAUGUGAAAUCCCCGGGCUCAACCUGGGAACUGCAUCUGAUACUGGCAAGCUUGAGUCUCGUAGAGGGGGGUAGAAUUCCAGGUGUAGCGGUGAAAUGCGUAGAGAUCUGGAGGAAUACCGGUGGCGAAGGCGGCCCCCUGGACGAAGACUGACGCUCAGGUGCGAAAGCGUGGGGAGCAAACAGG
Molecule: ribosomal RNA, 429 nt
Filed under: Chloroflexota bacterium
Lineage: Bacteria; Bacillati; Chloroflexota
Description: Chloroflexi bacterium partial 16S ribosomal RNA
Rfam family: Bacterial small subunit ribosomal RNA
Source: RNAcentral